GACGAACGCUGGCGGCGUGCUUAACACAUGCAAGUCGAACGGAAAGGCCCCUUUGGGGGUCCUCGAGUGGCGAACGGGUGAGUAACACGUGAGUAACCUGCCCUUGACUUCGGGAUAACUUCAGGAAACUGGGGCUAAUACCGGAUAGGAAUCCUUGCUGCAUGGUGGGGGUUGGAAAGCUUCGGCGGUUUUGGAUGGACUCGCGGCUUAUCAGCUUGUUGGUGGGGUAGUGGCUUACCAAGGCUUUGACGGGUAGCCGGCCUGAGAGGGCGACCGGCCACAUUGGGACUGAGGUACGGCCCAGACUCCUACGGGAGGAAGAAGUGGGGAAGAUUGCACAAGGGGCGGAAGCCUGAUGCAGCAACGCCGCGUGCGGGAUGACGGCCUUCGGGUUGUAAACCGCUUUCAGCAGGGGCGAAGCUUGUGGUGACGGUACCUGCAGAAGAAGCACCGGCUAACUACGUG
RNAcentral lists this ribosomal RNA (465 nucleotides) under uncultured bacterium. RNAcentral's name for it is "partial 16S ribosomal RNA". It matches the Rfam family "Bacterial small subunit ribosomal RNA", at positions 28 to 507 of the family's 1533-position model. The record is from RNAcentral.